ACUGAAAAAAACGGGUUUCAACUCCUUUAGAUUCUCUAUAUCUUGGUCUAGAGUAUUACCAAAUGGACGUGGGCAACCGAAUCUUGAUGGCAUCAAAUUUUACAAAAGUCUCUUGGAGACGCUUAAUAGAAAUGGCAUCAAACCAGUAGUGACUUUAUUUCACUGGGAUCUGCCUCAAGCUCUAGAAGAUGAAUAUGGUGGAUUUUUGAGCCCGAAG
This is a long non-coding RNA of Morus notabilis, 217 nucleotides long. RefSeq lists it as uncharacterized. The record is from RefSeq and is a predicted model, not a curated record. The transcript has 3 exons. NCBI's taxonomy places the organism in Eukaryota, Viridiplantae, Streptophyta, Magnoliopsida, Rosales, Moraceae.